Limanda limanda (common dab) is the source of this 365-nucleotide long non-coding RNA. RefSeq lists it as uncharacterized. The record is from RefSeq and is a predicted model, not a curated record. The transcript is spliced from 3 exons. NCBI's taxonomy places the organism in Eukaryota, Metazoa, Chordata, Actinopteri, Pleuronectiformes, Pleuronectidae.
AGCCCCCCCCCCCCCUCCACACACACACACACACACACACACAAACAAAGAGGCGUUAGGCUGAGACGCUGAAAGUCCGGAUUUAAAGUGCAGAAAAUUAAGCCAUUGAAUCUGCCUGUCCAUGACGUACAAAGACACACUAUGAGCCAGUAUGAUCCGACCAGACCUUACAUCAGCAUUGAGGAGUUGUCGGAGAAGAAAGAGGCUGAUUGAAGCGGGACAGAUGACAUGGAUCCAUCCUUCCACAGCCAGGAGCGCACCGACCUGUGUCCCACACUUCAUAUAAGACUGGAAGCUACACUGAUCUCACAGCUACACACCACAGACGUCUACACACUGGAGAAGAGUCCCACAAAGAAGUCAUG